AAAUAAAUUAUUUUAAUAACACUGUUCCAGACACAAUAGAUAUCUUCCAAAUUUUACUCGUCCUAAAAAGUCUUAAAAAAAUGUUUGAUGAGAUGGAAACAAAAAAUAAUCAAAUAUUACCAAAUUAGAAUUGUUCAAUGCUUUGGAUAGUAUUAUCAAGAUGAUUUUUGAGAGUAACUUGACAAUUAAAAUAAAGUAUAUAUACAAGUAUUUGGUAACAGCUAAACGCCACCUUAUUUAUGACAGAAUUCUCAAUUAAAAUAUAAUGAAAUACUGUUUUUAAAAUUAAUAUAUUCAUUAAUCUAUGAUAAUACAAGCAUGGUUAUAGGUCUUCUGGGUUGAUAUUCUAUCGUUUAGUCACCAUAUUAAUAUGAACAAAAAUAUACUGGUUUUUAAAUAGCUACAUACUUGUAACUAUUUGAUAUGUUAAUGAAGCAUUUCUUUAAAAUGGUAAAAUAAACAUUAAGUUUAUUAAUUUACUUAAAAUAUAAUUUAUAAAUAAUAAAUAUUGUAAAAAAGUUGAUCAGUCAAAUAUAUGAAAAUAUCGGCAAUGUUGACAAACAUUAAUAAAUAUUAAAAUAAUUGGAAAUUUAAUUUACUCUUGAUACAGAAUCAUCUACACUUUGAAGAGUUUGUAGACGUUUAGUCAUUAAUAAAUUUGUAAAUUGUCUAUGUAUUGGUAACAUUUGGCCAGUAACUUGUAAUAUCCAUUGUUUAUCAGCAUUAGGUGCAAAGUCAUAUGAAGGAGUACUAAAAUUAAAAUUCUAUUUAGUUUGUCAAUUUUAAAGAUUUUAAAUUCGUCAAUACUGGUGACAUACUGGUGAGAUGUUACAUUGAAAAACAUAUUAGAAUAUUGAGGUGCUGAAUCUUCUGGUCCAUGUGGUGAAGGGAAACUCAUUACUAACAUGAAUGGACGUUGAGGAUGAUGCAGUUUAACAUGUCUAAGAAAGUUAAUAGAAUCAUUGGUAAUUAAAUCUGGAUAGUAAUCCUAAAAAAAAAAAAAUGUUAAAUAAAUAAUUGUAGUAAUCAUUCCAUAAUUUUAUAAGAUUCAAGACAUACUUUGUUAUAGUUAUCUCCAUGUCUAAUUUUUUUUCCAUUUAAAUUUAUGGAAUAAUUAUAAUACUUUGAGUUCAUAAUGAGACCACCCCAUUGGCGCCAACCUGGAGGUACAUAACUGCCAUUAUACUUAUUCAAGUAUUUUCCAAAAUAGCCUGUUUAAUAAUUGUAUAUAUAUAUAUUUAUAAAUGUUAUUUAUUACACUAGGAUUUUAGUUUAAAGGAAUUUUUAGCUUUGAUGUAAAUCUUAGAAGAUAUUGGUUUUUUCACCAUAUGCAUUUAUUAUUUUUUUUGUCCGUGUGCUCAGAUUACUGAACUAAACUAAUAUAUAGUAUAUCAAAAGAACACAAA
Long non-coding RNA from Daktulosphaira vitifoliae (grape phylloxera), 1406 nucleotides. RefSeq lists it as uncharacterized. NCBI's taxonomy places the organism in Eukaryota, Metazoa, Arthropoda, Insecta, Hemiptera, Phylloxeridae. The record is from RefSeq and is a predicted model, not a curated record. The transcript has 2 exons.